CAGCCGCCGCGGGAAUACGAAGGGUGCAAGCGUUAAUCGGAAUUACUGGGCGUAAAGCGUGCGUAGGCGGUUUGUUAAGUAUGUUGUGAAAUCCCCGGGCUCAACCUGGGAAUGGCAAUGGAUACUGGCAAGCUAGAGUGUGUCAGAGGAUGGUGGAAUUCCCGGUGUAGCGGUGAAAUGCGUAGAGAUCUGGAGGAAUACCGGUGGCGAAGGCGGCCCCCUGGACAAAGACUGACGCUCAGGUGCGAAAGCGUGGGGAGCAAACAGGAUUAGAUACCCGUGUAGUCCCUGUCUCUUAUAC
RNAcentral lists this ribosomal RNA (301 nucleotides) under uncultured bacterium. RNAcentral's name for it is "partial 16S ribosomal RNA". It matches the Rfam family "Bacterial small subunit ribosomal RNA", at positions 509 to 807 of the family's 1533-position model. The record is from RNAcentral.